GUUAAAAAUCCAAAAGAGGCGGGGCGCGGUGGCUCACACCUGUAAUCCUAGCACUCUGGGAGGCUGAGGCAGGAGGAUUACUCAAGGGUCAGUCCUAGGUAGAAAAAGAAGCAGCCAGUACCUGCAUAGAUGGCACAUGCUUUCCAGCUAGAGACUCUGUUUCCCAGCCUCCAAUGAAGCUAAGCCCAUCUGUACAACCAAGUUCCUGUCAAAGAAUUGAUUAUUUUCAGGAUUAAAUGAGAUACUGCAAGUGUAGUGCUAAGUACAGUGUCCAGCACUCAGCAUGCAUUCAGUAAGUGACACACAUGAUGAUGAGGACGGUGGAGGAGAGAAAAAUGGUGUCAAAGUGGGACCUUCUACAUUUUAAACGGUGUGAUAUUUUCCAGUGAAAACUUUGGGGCUUUAAAUUUGUUUUAUUAAAGUUAUAUUUGUGUGAAUAUGACUAAAUCAGGGAAAAAACACCCAGCCCCUCUAACUGUGAAGCAUUCAUUCCAUGGCUGCAUGGCCAAAUACAGAGUUAAGAAAUGCUCCCACCAGGCAGGCACGUUGCAAAGCCACCGAUUCACAGCAGAGCUUUUAGCAUCCCCUUUCUUUUUACUUAUGUAUAUGUGCUUGUUCUUGAGCUAUGUGCUUCUGAAUGUCGAUCAGACAAGUAUAUCAGCAACAGUUCCUUUUCCUCCUCCUCCUAAUUUUCUCCUCUCCCUCUGCCUCCUUCUCCUUCUUCCUCUUCAUUUUCUUCGGUUCCUCCUUCUCCGCUUAUAAUGACAUCAUUGUCAUUGUCAACAAUACCAAACAGCAUUUUUCUCUCCAGCACUCCUUUCUCCUUUUCUGAGAGUCCUUCUUUCCCACAUUCUAUAUGGUUCAGAGGGGCAUGGCUCUUCCUUCCUGCUUUUCCCUCCAGUUAGCUGUGAAAACACAGGUAGGGACUUGAGUAAGCAGAAUAACCCAUCUCCCUGGACAUGGUAAUUGGUGAACAGUUGGCAUCUGCCCCAAGCAAAGGCAAUUAGAGACUUGUCAGAUACUUGAGAUUUGAUAUAUAGAAGUAGGGAAAGAGGUAGGAACUCUUCCUUCAUGAUAAAAGUAUGCGGAAGUUACCUGUGGCUUUUAAAAUCAUAAUCACUUGAAAUAACUUGUUUGCAGGAGAGAAAAAAAGGCCAAGAUAAAAAUAGAAGAAGAAAUGAAAGCAAGAGAAGGAGACAGAGAGAGAGAGAGAGAGAGAGAGAGAGAGAGAGAGAGAGAUUGAGAGAGAAUGAAUUAGGAAAGAAUUUGGCAACAAUUUUUGGUUCCUGGAUUCAAAGUUUCUCAAGCUGUAUCUGUACAUACAAUUUUUAGUUACGUUAACAAAAUACAUUAAAAAAUAACCAAUUUGA
Non-coding RNA from Microcebus murinus (gray mouse lemur), 1370 nucleotides. The record is from RefSeq and is a predicted model, not a curated record. Lineage: Eukaryota; Metazoa; Chordata; Mammalia; Primates; Cheirogaleidae.